This 255-nucleotide long non-coding RNA is filed under the name Lathyrus oleraceus (garden pea). RNAcentral's name for it is "Pisum sativum (pea) long non-coding RNA (PSAT_LNC015766)". The record is from RNAcentral. Lineage: Eukaryota; Viridiplantae; Streptophyta; Magnoliopsida; Fabales; Fabaceae.
GAAUAUCUAAGACCGGUAUAAGGGUGAAAGAUAUCAAUCAUCCGAGGCAUCUGAGGAGGACUCAAAAGGAACAUCUCAACUCAGGAAAAUCUGACUCCACAGGGGACAAAAAGUCAUAAUAGGGAGCACAAGCAUGGAACACCAGUGAUACCGGUUACUGGGUAUAUAAUAGGUGACCACCAGGCGUGAAUUGAUAUUCCUUCGUUUUUGAGUAUACCACCCAGUAACCGGUGAUAUAUCUCUUGGAUAAUUGUU